This 75-nucleotide transfer RNA is filed under the name Verrucomicrobiota bacterium. RNAcentral's name for it is "Verrucomicrobia bacterium (freshwater metagenome) tRNA-Lys". It matches the Rfam family "tRNA". Rfam says of the family: Transfer RNA (tRNA) molecules are approximately 80 nucleotides in length. Their secondary structure includes four short double-helical elements and three loops (D, anti-codon, and T loops). The record is from RNAcentral. Lineage: Bacteria; Pseudomonadati; Verrucomicrobiota.
GCCUCGGUAGCUCAAUGGUAGAGCAGUUGACUCUUAAUCAAUUGGUUCACAGUUCAAGUCUGUGCCGAGGCACCA